AAAAUCCGUCGACUUG
RNAcentral lists this transfer RNA (16 nucleotides) under Phleum pratense (timothy grass). RNAcentral's name for it is "partial tRNA-Leu". The record is from RNAcentral. Lineage: Eukaryota; Viridiplantae; Streptophyta; Magnoliopsida; Poales; Poaceae.